ACAGGCCAAUUUACUAUUCCCAGCCCAACCAUCUUUCUACUGCUUUGGAAGACAUCACAAUGAAUGAUUGCCCUGCUGCUCAUCACAUCUUGGAUCAGAGAGGAAGGGGCUUACAGACAUGUCCUGUCCAUCAGGGAGAAGUGGUGUACCAGUGCUUGAAGUAAAAUCAAGGAAUGGCAAUAAAUCGAGAGAGCUGGAGUCACAGAAUCAGUCCUGGAAGGGAAUUAUUUAGGAGUAAUUUGGAAAAGGGUCUGCAUAUCCUGCAUUCUGUAUGGCCUUGCUGAGAGGCCAGGAACCAUCCUCCAAUACCCCCAUGUGACAGACCCAGCAGAGCUCUGGAUUUAGGUCCAGAACCACCCUUGGCUUCAGUGAAGCCAGCUCAAAGGAGUCAAGUUUAACAAAAUCAGCCCAUAAGUCGCAAAGAAUAUGAUUAUUGUCUUUCAUCAAGCUCCAGAUUUGAACGUAAGCUGAACUGUACGGGCAGAGUUAGUCUACCAGCCUCAGUGACCUGCAUAUACUUCAGCUUUACCUACACAUUUUAUGCUAAAGGAAAAAUGAGCUUACCAAGCAUUUUUAUUUCCACAAUGUCAUUCUGUUUUCCAGUUCAUUGAAAAGAAAACACCCUGACUUAACAGUGACUUCCCCAGAACAAGCAACACGUAAAGCAACACAAAGCUACACAGUGCAUGGAAAAUGAUAUUCUUUCAUGCUGUGCCUUGUCUUUCUCUUUUAAACAAUGAUUGAUGGGUUUUUGAUUGAAGUUCAGUGGCUUGAUAUCAAAGACAGCAGCUCAUAAAAUCAGAAAGAAAUUAUGACUGUGUAUUAGUGGCUGGUUAUUAUUUAAAAACAAGGCCUAAAACAUAUUGGUUACCCCUUCAUCAAACGCACUCUCGUGGGUAUUCUUUUAUGAUUGUUCCAUUUUCUGAGUCUCACAAAACAAUUUAAAGUUAAGCGUAGAAGAGCUUAUUCUGCUUAAGAUAUCAAGGGAAUUUACAUAAUGACUAAUUUAAAAGCACACGCACAAAUUAACUAAAUUCACACGUAAAGGAAUAUGCUUCCAAAGUUAGCACACUUUUUUGCUGGCUGGGAUUCAGUGGAUAAUUAAAAAACCUCAACCCUCUUGCUGAUCAUCAAUCCAGAAAACGUGUAAGUAGGUUUAUAGAACAAAAGGCGAAGGCCCUGCUCUUGGCACCCUGUCUAGACAAGGAGUUGACCUUAUUUAAAGUGGUGCACGGGGGGACAACUCCUGGGACUUGAAAUCUAUGAAAGUGAAGAGGCUAAUUGCUUGAGAUCAGAUCAGAGAUGUGUGAAUCACAGUGUCCAAUAGAAAAGGUAUCCAAAAUUUGUAUGUGCUUUGGGUAUAUUUUCAAAGAGAGAGAAUAAAACUGAAGAACCUAGGAAGGAAGGCUGCA
RNAcentral lists this long non-coding RNA (1412 nucleotides) under Anser brachyrhynchus (Pink-footed goose). RNAcentral describes it as "lncRNA (ENSABRG00000004294.1)". The record is from RNAcentral. Lineage: Eukaryota; Metazoa; Chordata; Aves; Anseriformes; Anatidae.